RNAcentral lists this long non-coding RNA (211 nucleotides) under Sorghum bicolor (sorghum). RNAcentral's name for it is "long non-coding RNA (SBIC_LNC018054)". The record is from RNAcentral. Lineage: Eukaryota; Viridiplantae; Streptophyta; Magnoliopsida; Poales; Poaceae.
UUGGCUAUCCAAAAAUUUUAAUAUCUUUCACACCAUUAUUGAUUACUCCCUUCAUUCUGUGAUAUAGUAUAUUCUGGCAUUCAAAAUUUGUUCUCCAAUAUAAUGCAUUCUAGAGGACAAAAUCCAAUUUUGUAUUAAUACUUUCUAUUUAUCAAAUAAUCAUCAUUAAUCACGUUGAUGAUAAUAUCUAAUUAGGAAAUAAAAUGGGGGU